UACGGAGGGGGCUAGCAUUGUUCGGAAUUACUGGGCGUAAAGCGCACGUAGGCGGCUUUGUAAGUUAGAGGUGAAAGCCCGGAGCUCAACUCCGGAAUUGCCUUUAAGACUGCAUCGCUCGAAUCAUGGAGAGGUGAGUGGAAUUCCGAGUGUAGAGGUGAAAUUCGUAGAUAUUCGGAAGAACACCAGUGGCGAAGGCGACUCACUGGACAUGUAUUGACGCUGAGGUGCGAAAGCGUGGGGAGCAAACAGG
Molecule: ribosomal RNA, 253 nt
Filed under: uncultured bacterium
Lineage: Bacteria
Description: partial 16S ribosomal RNA
Rfam family: Bacterial small subunit ribosomal RNA
Source: RNAcentral